Molecule: ribosomal RNA, 445 nt
Filed under: uncultured bacterium
Lineage: Bacteria
Description: partial 16S ribosomal RNA
Rfam family: Bacterial small subunit ribosomal RNA
Source: RNAcentral
GUAGGGAAUAUUGGACAAUGGGCGAAAGCCUGAUCCAGCCAUGUCGCGUGAUAGAUGAAGGCCCUCUGGGUUGUAAAUAUCUUUUAUCUGGGAAGAAACUCCUCUAUUCUUAGAGGCCUGACGGUACCAGAGGAAUAAGCACCGGCUAACUCCGUGCCAGCAGCCGCGGUAAUACGGAGGGUGCAAGCGUUAUCCGGAUUCACUGGGUUUAAAGGGUGCGUAGGCGGGUUGAUAGGUCAGUGGUGAAAGCUACGGGCUUAACAUGGAAACUGCCAUUGAUACUGUCAGUCUUGAAUGUCGUAGAGGUAAGCGGAAUGUUGCAUGUAGCGGUGAAAUGCUUAGAUAUGUUACAGAACACCAAUUGCGAAGGCAGCUUACUAUGCGAUAAUUGACGCUGAGGCACGAAAGCGUGGGGAGCAAACAGGAUUAGAAACCCUAGUAGUCC